UCUUCAUUCUUCUUCUUUCUUCUUCUUCUCCUUGUUCUUCUUCUUCUGUUAUUCUGCUUCUGCGGGUUUGAGAGAAUCAAAUGGAAGUUCUACUUUCGGCAGAAGGUGGGGGGAAGACCUUUUAACAGUCGAUGGUGAUGGUGAUGGUGUUUGUUGUUGAUUCAAAUUCGAAUCUGAGAUGAAUUGAAUUUAAGAUUUCUCUGUAAAUCGAUGAAGGUGAAGAUGAUAAUAAAAUUAAGAUUGAAAGAUGAAUAAUAGAACUGUGGGGAGAUGAAGAAGCGAGGAUUGAAGUGUAAUUUCAGUUUUGAAGUUGUUAUGGAUAUGAAUCAAAGGAUUAGGGUUUGCCAGAAGAUUGUGUAGAAGUUCGAUUAGAAGAUGAAUUUGAUGUUUUAAAGGGGAUAUUUGAGAUGGAUUUUGAUCAGGUAUGAAGUAGUAAUGAUUGCAUGGGUUUAAUUUUGAUUUCAGUUCCUCAUGUUCUUCCCCAAAUUAUAAUUAGGGUUUCUGAAUUUAUUGGAAAUUAGAGUGAAGUUGUUUAAGGAGAAAUUAAAGGCUGGGUAUGGUUGGUAUGAGAAGUUGGAAUUAUCUUUUGAACUCAAAAUUAGAAAAUAGAGGGUUUGGAAUUGGUUAUAGUGUUUCUGAGAAUCAAUGAUGGGUUGAAGAAUUAGGGUAUGGUUUCAGUUGUGCUGAUGAGUUCUGGGUAGUCUUGAGAUGUGUUGGUGAAUCAAAAUCAAGGUGGGAAUCAGAAUCUGAUUCAGUUGUUUGAGGAAGAUUACUUUGAGGUAAUUGUGCUGAGUUAAUUUAGUAGAACUAUUAGAUUUUAUUGAUUGGUCUUAUGUGUUUGUGAAUGAACUGAAAUGAGAUAUUGCUUUGAUUGAGAACUGGUAACACAAGUGGUGGUAGUGUUGAUGUUAGUGGUUUGGUAAUAGAGAUUAUGAUGUUGUGUUGAUGGUGGUGGAUAUGAUUGUUGCAGGACAAUAAUAUUGCUCUGGUUAUAAUUAGAAUUACAAGUGGUGGUGGUCUGGUAAGGUACAGAGUUGGAGAUAUUAUGGCUUGGUCAAUACAAGGAUUUGGAGAUAAAGAUGUUGAUUAUGCAGGAUGUAUGGUUAGGUUGCUAUGGUGGUUUGUUAGUGACUAGUGAAUGGUUGAAGAGAACUGACAUGAAGAUACAAGGUCAGUAAUCUGGAGAUAGAAUGAAUGUGGUUAUAAUGAAGAUAUGAAUGUAUUGGUGGUGGUUCUAUUUUAUGAACAGAAUUAUUAUUAAAGUGGUGUAUUGUUGUUGAAGUUAAUGAAACUGUGGUUAGAUAUUAGGUUUGUGUUUUGGAUUGCAUUUAAGGAUGACAUGUUUGGAUUGACCUGGCUGAGAUGGGAAUGUUGCAGUUGAGGAUGAAUCUAAACUGAGAGUAGGAGUAAGAUGAAUGGUUUAGAAAUUUUGGUUAUGCAGGUGGUUGUGUUGAGAGUCAAGUUACAGAAAUGACGGUGUCAUGUUGGUGGUGAUGAUAUGAACUGAGUUUGAGUAAGCCUAUGAGAUGUUAUUGUUAUUGAGGCUAAGAGAAAUUGGUAGAAGUUUAGUUGAUUUUGAAGAAUCUAUGGCUUAGUACUGCAAUUGCAGUUUCAGUGACACAUCAUAGUUGCGCAGCGGAAGCUUCAAGGGUUGAGUUCGCUAGCUGAUUAACUUCUGUUAUGUUUUUUAUGUUGUAUAUUUUAUUUGUAAACCAAAUGAUUAUUGUAUAUGUAUCAUUUGAGAGGAAUCCUUGUAUAUAUAUAUAUUUCUGAGCGGGGCUAGUUUUGGGUUAAGUUUUGGUAGCAGAUUUGUAAAUUGAAUGUUUAAGUAAAUGAUUUAGAUUCUUAGUGCC
Papaver somniferum (opium poppy) is the source of this 1853-nucleotide long non-coding RNA. RefSeq lists it as uncharacterized. The record is from RefSeq and is a predicted model, not a curated record. NCBI's taxonomy places the organism in Eukaryota, Viridiplantae, Streptophyta, Magnoliopsida, Ranunculales, Papaveraceae. The transcript is spliced from 2 exons.